GGCAGAUAAGUGCGGUGGAUUUAAGCUCCACAAAUAAAGUUUUUAACUUUCA
RNAcentral lists this transfer RNA (52 nucleotides) under Pericapritermes sp. TBRU1.8. RNAcentral's name for it is "tRNA-Leu". Lineage: Eukaryota; Metazoa; Arthropoda; Insecta; Blattodea; Termitidae. The record is from RNAcentral.